Molecule: transfer RNA, 71 nt
Filed under: Stegodyphus mimosarum
Lineage: Eukaryota; Metazoa; Arthropoda; Arachnida; Araneae; Eresidae
Rfam family: tRNA
About the family: Transfer RNA (tRNA) molecules are approximately 80 nucleotides in length. Their secondary structure includes four short double-helical elements and three loops (D, anti-codon, and T loops). Further hydrogen bonds mediate the characteristic L-shaped molecular structure. tRNAs have two regions of fundamental functional importance: the anti-codon, which is responsible for specific mRNA codon recognition, and the 3' end, to which the tRNAs corresponding amino acid is attached (by aminoacyl-tRNA synthetases). tRNAs cope with the degeneracy of the genetic code in two manners: having more than one tRNA (with a specific anti-codon) for a particular amino acid; and 'wobble' base-pairing, i.e. permitting non-standard base-pairing at the 3rd anti-codon position.
Source: Rfam by way of RNAcentral
GCCUUCGUGGUGUAACGGUAGCACACUCGACGCGUAUUUUAGAGGUCCGGGUUCGAGUCCUGGCGAGGGCA